Solanum tuberosum (potato) is the source of this 103-nucleotide non-coding RNA. The record is from Rfam. NCBI's taxonomy places the organism in Eukaryota, Viridiplantae, Streptophyta, Magnoliopsida, Solanales, Solanaceae.
GUCCCUUCGGGGACAUCUGAUAAAAUUGGAACGAUGAGGAGAAGAUUAGCAUGGCCCUUGUGCAAGGAUGACGUAGGCAAAUCAAGAAAUGGUCCAGAUUUUU